This 1694-nucleotide long non-coding RNA is filed under the name Salmo salar (Atlantic salmon). RNAcentral describes it as "lncRNA (ENSSSAG00000114056.1)". Lineage: Eukaryota; Metazoa; Chordata; Actinopteri; Salmoniformes; Salmonidae. The record is from RNAcentral.
CACUGCUUAGGCCUCUCUUCUCUUUUGCCUGAGAUACUUUAACCAAAUAUGGAAUGAUGCUAAUAUACAUGUAUAUCCUUCAUUGUUAUGGUUAAGGUUGCAGUCUUAAAACAGGUUCAACAUGUAUGUAGCUAGAAGAAAAAAUGUACACGUAUUGUUUCCUGUAAUGCCAUGUUAUUUGGAACCACAUUUAAAGCUAGUGGUUUGUUGCUGAGGGACUUCCUGUGGUUAAUAAGUGGAACCCUCCAUUACAGUGCUUAUGAUGGAUAUAUUGGAAUGUGUUUAUGAUAGGGCAUAAAAGUAAGUGUAUCAUGUCUUGUCAAAUGAAAUCUACCCUCUAUGAAUCAUUUGAAUUGGAAAUACAAAGACAUUUUUUAACUGCAAUUUGUCAAAUCAAAUGGGGUGUUAUCGAGUGAUUCUGAUCACCACUUUGCAAGUUUGACAUUACUAAUACGUUUCAAAUAAUUGUCCCUCAAAAUAAUUUUAUAGUUUAUCCUUCCGGUUCCCUCACCAUGAUCUUUUAAUCUGUAAAUGGCUUUAGAUCGGCGAGAAGUAAUCCGGCCAUCUUGAAUUCCAAAGAGAGGUGUUUUUCUCUGCUUGUAGAGGCAGUGGUAGCAAGACAGACAGAGGUUUUAAACUAGGUGGAAAGAACUUGAGGAAUGAGGAGAGACACAGAGAGCUAGAGAGAAUGAGGAGAUAAGCAGAUGGUUAGUGUCUGAGAUGACACCUGUAUAUCUCAUUUCAGUAAACCACAGUACAUAUGAAUUGCCUGGGCUUGAGCCCUUUUGUGUUGGUGACCAGUGUCAGGAUUCACCUUGGCUCAGAGGUGAGUUAGUGUGUGUACCACCGUGGCUAUUUUAGGACCAGCGCACCAGCUUAGUAGCACUGCCUGUGUGUGUGUGUGUGUGGUGUGUCUGCGUGCGUGUGGAAAAACUAAAGCACCUCCAAUAUGGCUUCACCCCACAACCCCGGUCUUCUUCCUCAAUAAGCUGCUUUAGAGUUCUUCUAUGCAACAGUGCAGAAACACCGAACACAGAUCUUUCACAUUAUGCUUACUUGGCACAGUCUUGUUAUAACAGAGCAUAAAGAGUGUGGAAAUACAAUGUAAUUGCUUUACAAAUUGUAUUGUGACAAAGCUGAAUGCAAAUUACCUAAAGUAGAGCACUUUAGAGUUGAAAGAGGUUAGCUAUAAACAAUGGUUUGUUGUUGUACUUAAGUGCCCAGAUACAUUAGAAAAAAGGUUUUGCCUUUCACAGUACAAGUCCUUAAACAUCUCUUUAGUGUGUGAAUAUAGCGUGAAAGACUUUUAUAAAACACUCCGUUUGGUCAAAACACUUAGGUUCAUUUUGUGUUUAAGAACAUUGUCAAAAAGGCAGUCCUUUUUGAUACGCAACAUUGUAGGUGAAAUUAAAUCUCCAAACUACCCAAUGUGUCAUGUUUAAACACAAAACUGGUGCAGUACACAUUGCAGUGCAAAAGAGCGUUUUAUGCCUCAAUUUUGAAUGUUUAAAAAGGGAUCUGCUACCCUCAUGAUUCAUUGGUGUUAUUCACAUAUUGAAAGUAAGUGUUUCAUGCAUUAGCCUACUUUAUUCUUCUUUUAAUAAAGAUGGGUGAAUUUAGUGAGAAUGAGUUUUCAACCAUUGUUUGGACACCUCUUCAUAUUGCAAAAACAAUUAAAUUACUACUUGAGUGAG